This 268-nucleotide ribosomal RNA is filed under the name Bradyrhizobium sp. ARNA1. Its description in RNAcentral is "partial 16S ribosomal RNA". It matches the Rfam family "Bacterial small subunit ribosomal RNA", at positions 42 to 336 of the family's 1533-position model. RNAcentral also lists the same sequence under 7 other names. Lineage: Bacteria; Pseudomonadati; Pseudomonadota; Alphaproteobacteria; Hyphomicrobiales; Nitrobacteraceae. The record is from RNAcentral.
GCAGGCUUAACACAUGCAAGUCGAGCGGGCAUAGCAAUAUGUCAGCGGCAGACGGGUGAGUAACGCGUGGGAACGUACCUUUUGGUUCGGAACAACUGAGGGAAACUUCAGCUAAUACCGGAUAAGCCCUUACGGGGAAAGAUUUAUCGCCGAAAGAUCGGCCCGCGUCUGAUUAGCUAGUUGGUGAGGUAAUGGCUCACCAAGGCGACGAUCAGUAGCUGGUCUGAGAGGAUGAUCAGCCACAUUGGGACUGAGACACGGCCCAAAC